RNAcentral lists this ribosomal RNA (1632 nucleotides) under Triticum aestivum (bread wheat). RNAcentral's name for it is "partial small subunit ribosomal RNA". Lineage: Eukaryota; Viridiplantae; Streptophyta; Magnoliopsida; Poales; Poaceae. The record is from RNAcentral.
AUGCGGCGCCAUGGCCUCGAUCCGCACGAGCUGGACCGGAGCACGGAGCAGCUCAUGUCGCUCAUCCACGAGAACCUCCCGGACCCGCCCGUCUCCACCACCGCUCGCUUCACCGCCCUCCGCGGCCGCCCCUCCGACGGCGUGGACCGCAUCAGCGGCCUCUCCGACGCGCUCCUCCGCGACAUCGUCUCCCGCCUCCCCGUCAAGGACGCCGCCCGCACCGCCGUGCUCGCCGCGCGCUGGCGCGGGGUCUGGCGCUCUACGCCGCUCGUUCUGAUCGACACCCAGCUGAUCUCCAACGGCCGCACGCCCGCGCGCGCCAGCACGCCGGACGUCACCGCGGCCGUCUCCCGCAUACUCGUCACGCACCCAGGGCCCUUCCGCUGCGUCCACCUUACCUGCAGCCGCAUGGGCGCGUACCAGGGCCAGCUCAAGCGCUGGAUCCGUCUCCUUGCGGCCAGAGGCGUCCAGGAUCUCGUCCUCGUCAACCGCCCGUGGCUACGCGAGGUGCCCCUCCCCAAGACGCUCUUCACCGUCUCCACCCUCACCCGCCUCUACAUCGGCGUCUGGAAGUUCCCGGAUGCGGCCGGCCUCCAAGGCGCCUGCUUCCCCCACCUCCGGGAGCUCGGCAUCUGCAGCAUCGCCGUCGAGGACGGGGACAUCGACGCCUUCGUCGCCAGGAGCCCCGCGCUGGAGAUCCUCAACAUCCAAGGGAGGAUGAAGGGGGUGCGUCUCCGCCUCGUCAGCCACAGCCUCCGGUGCGUGCAGAUCUGCUCUUUCGUCAUGGAGAGCAUCGACGUGGUGAACGCCCCGUGUCUCGACCGCCUCAUCCUGUCGGAGUGUCUCGACCCCGCCGGCGGAUCGCGCACCAGAGUCAGGAUUGGCAACGUCCCCAAGCUGAGAAUAUUCGGGUACCUGGAUCCAGGAAAAUACGUGCUAGAGAUCCGAGACACUGUCAUCACGGCUGGGAUUAAGAUAAGUCCAAGCAUGAUGAUCACAACCGUGAAGGUCCUUAGUUUGAGGGUGCGGUUUGGAGUCUACGAUGAUGUCAAGAUGGUGCCCGCCUUCCUCAGAUUCUUCCCCAAUGUUGAGGCGCUGCAUAUGACGUCUGAAAAAUGUGAUCACCUCGCUGGCAAUUUUGACCUCCAGUUCUGGGAAGAGGUCGGUCCCAUCGUAAGUGUGGUUUUGCGCCUCAAGGUGAUCACGUUUCGUGAGUACCAUGGGAGGCAAGAUGAGAUUGCCUUCCUCCAGUACAUCUUCCAGAAUGCAAGGGUGCUCAAAGAUGUAAUGAUUCAGAUGAUCAAUCCAAGAUUCACUUCACUGUCAGCAGAUGAGAUGACCCGCACCAUAAACAAUAUGCCUGAUGAGAAAUGGGUCAGGAAAUUUCAAAUUCCUGUCUUUCGGAGUAUUGGUCCUGAAGGAUUGAGUCCUUGGACUUUUCAGCGAGGAGCAGACCUUUCCGACGGCGACCCUAUUGCACCGGUUAAAUUCAUCACAAUGCGGUCUUUCUUUUGUUAUGCCUUCGUUCGUAUCAGGUGUAGGCCCGGCCUCUCACCAGCAGAAAUCACAAGCUGGCAAGCAUCGCAACUGAGAUGUUUGACACGUGAAGUCAUGGAGUAUGCACUAGCCUGA